AGCAGAGAGAUGAUGCAAGCGUGAGAGCCUCGUAUUUGCAAGGAAACGUUCUUCGUUGAUCUUCUCUCGUCCUGUUUCCACUGUGAACAGUGUUAGGAAGUAGCUCAGCGACGGGAAAGCAGCCUGUGUUGUGUUUUGCGGGUAACUUCCACUGAAACUGCACCGAAAAUGUGGGGAAACGGGACGGAAGCGAAUGUUCGGGGUUAUAAAGGACUUCAGGAUUUGGGACGCGGGGUACCUGCGGUACCAAAACCACCCCCAACGCUGCGGGAGGGGCCGGGCUGUGAGGAGAGGGGCGUCCCGAGCCCCUCAGGGCAGCGAGGAGCCGAGGGCGGAUCGCUCUCCUCAGAGGCUGCAGUGCUGCGGGGCGGGGACGGCGGGGGCGGCCCCCCCCCGCCGGCGGCGCCGCCUCUCCGUGCUCUAAGCGGGAGCGCUGUCCGGGCAGCCAGCAGGUUUCCUACUCCGCCGUCUCCACCGGCGCGGCGUUCUGGCUGUCCCAUGUGUGCGGUUCUCUUCUACUGGAAGAACUACAAGGCGGCCAAGCCGUGCACGGAGGCCACAGGAGGAACGCGCAGCCCAGGUGAAGGAAGCUUAGCAUGAACCACAGAUGUUUACAGCUCGUCAUGCACCUAUCACUUUCCAGAUAGAUGGAGAAACAUAGAAGGAACAGAAAGAGAAAAAAGCUGCUUGAUAGUUGGCAUCUCAGUCGAAGUUCUUGUACAGUGCUGGACCCCUUUCUUCAUCACACAAUUAGUAAGUCCCCUCUGUUCCUGCAACAUCCCACACAUCUGGAAAAGCAUUUUUCUUUGGCUUGGCUACUCUAACUCUUCCUUUAAUCCUUUCAUUUAUAUGGCAUUUAACAAUUAUUACAACCAUGCCUUCAAGAACCUUUUCCUGAAGCAGAGAUAAAAGGGGACAGAGAAGGAAAUGAUUCCUUUUUUGCACAAUAUAGAGAUUUCUGGAGGGAAACGUGCCAGGAUACAUGCAGACUUCAAGAACAAGAUCUCGUUAAGGGGAUUUAGCAACAAAGAAUUAUGAAGAUGAUUGCAUAUAAACCUACAGUCAGUUUACAGUUCCCCCUUGGAAAUACAGAUGUGCUACUCCAAAGUGUGAUGAAGAAAAAAGCAGUGAAUAUCUCCCUUCUUUGAACUGUUGUGUGUUAAAGUCUGCAAGCAAAGCACUGUAUCCAUCUAAGAGCAAGAUGUCAAGUCUAAGCCAAGUCAUCUCAUCCAGCCAACUAUGGGUGCCAUUCUGCAGCUUGUUCAUCAUCAGCAAGGGCACCAAGGGGAACUGUGGAUUGAGCAACACUGAAAUGUUCGUCAUGUGCACAGGAUGUUGGCUUUAUUCUGGGGACUUUUUUGGAAAGGAGAGAAUAAAGAGAAUGAACAUGCUGCA
This 1395-nucleotide long non-coding RNA is filed under the name Chrysolophus pictus (golden pheasant). RNAcentral describes it as "lncRNA (ENSCPIG00010006892.1)". The record is from RNAcentral. Lineage: Eukaryota; Metazoa; Chordata; Aves; Galliformes; Phasianidae.